GACGAACGCUGGCGGCGUGCCUAAUACAUGCAAGUUGAGCGCUGAAGGUUGGUACUUGUACCAACUGGAUGAGCAGCGAACGGGUGAGUAACGCGUGGGGAAUCUGCCUUUGAGCGGGGGACAACAUUUGGAAACGAAUGCUAAUACCGCAUAAAAACUUUAAACACAAGUUUUAAGUUUGAAAGAUGCAAUUGCAUCACUCAAAGAUGAUCCCGCGUUGUAUUAGCUAGUUGGUGAGGUAAAGGCUCACCAAGGCGAUGAUACAUAGCCGACCUGAGAGGGUGAUCGGCCACAUUGGGACUGAGACAAGGCCCAAACGCCUACGGGAGGCAGCAGUAGGGAAUCUUCGGCAAUGGACGAAAGUCUGACCGAGCAACGCCGCGUGAGUGAAGAAGGGUUUCGGAUCGUAAAACUCUGUUGGUAGAGAAGAACGUUGGUGAGAGUGGAAAGCUCAUCAAGUGACGGUAACUACCCAGAAAGGGACGGCUAACUACGUG
Molecule: ribosomal RNA, 497 nt
Filed under: uncultured bacterium
Lineage: Bacteria
Description: partial 16S ribosomal RNA
Rfam family: Bacterial small subunit ribosomal RNA
Source: RNAcentral